This 423-nucleotide ribosomal RNA is filed under the name uncultured bacterium. RNAcentral describes it as "bacterial SSU rRNA". It matches the Rfam family "Bacterial small subunit ribosomal RNA", at positions 355 to 774 of the family's 1533-position model. The record is from RNAcentral.
UGAGGAAUAUUGGACAAUGGGUGAAAACCUGAUCCAGCCAUGCCGCGUGCAGGAAGACGGCCCUAUGGGUUGUAAACUGCUUUUGUAUGGGAGCAAUAAGCUCUACGCGUAGAGUGAUGAGAGUACCAUACGAAUAAGCAUCGGCUAACUCCGUGCCAGCAGCCGCGGUAAUACGUAGGGGGCGAGCGUUGUCCGGAAUGACUGGGUGUAAAGGGUGUGUAGGUGGUUUGAUAAGUUAGAAGUGUAAUACCCAGGGCUUAACUCGGGUGCUGCUUCCAAAACUGUCAGACUUGAGUGCAGGAGAGGAUAGUGGAAUUCCUAGUGUAGCGGUGGAAUGCGUAGAUAUUAGGAGGAACAUCAGUGGCGAAGGCGACUAUCUGGACUGUAACUGACACCGAGGCACGAAAGCGUGGGGAGCAAACA